Odobenus rosmarus divergens (Pacific walrus) is the source of this 68-nucleotide non-coding RNA. Lineage: Eukaryota; Metazoa; Chordata; Mammalia; Carnivora; Odobenidae. The record is from the annotation of a RefSeq genome assembly.
GGUAAAAUGGCUGACGAUAGCAUUAGACUGUAAAUCUAAGAACGGAGGUUACAGCCCUCCUUUUACCA